UACCCACUGAGCCAUCUCACCAGCC
Molecule: non-coding RNA, 25 nt
Filed under: Mus musculus (house mouse)
Lineage: Eukaryota; Metazoa; Chordata; Mammalia; Rodentia; Muridae
Source: RNAcentral